UGUUUUCUUCCAGUGUAUGUCUUUGGCUCCUUUGUCAAAUAUAAGCUGACUGUUGGUGUGUGGUUUCAUUCCUGGAUCUUCUAUUCUAUUCCAUUGAGUCAGAUCUAUUUUU
Long non-coding RNA from Dipodomys spectabilis (banner-tailed kangaroo rat), 112 nucleotides. RefSeq lists it as uncharacterized. The transcript is spliced from 3 exons. NCBI's taxonomy places the organism in Eukaryota, Metazoa, Chordata, Mammalia, Rodentia, Heteromyidae. The record is from RefSeq and is a predicted model, not a curated record.